CUGGGACUGAUGUCUCAUACUAGAUUUAAUAUUAAUCAACUUAAUUAUUUCUCAAGUUUGCAGGUAUAAAGGGCAAUGAACAGGCUGAAAAAUGUUUCUGGAGUUAAGCUGGUGACACUGACAGCUCAAGAAUGCACAGUAAACAAGGGAAAUACGUAGUGAAUAUUGAACACCCUGAAAAUCAGCCACCAUUCCUGAAUCCAACCAUCUACAGAACUCACAACUCAGCAUAUCAGUUUUCUACAUCAACGGCUGCAACUGGUGAUACUGGUACCAAUUUAACUGAUGUCUGCACCAACACAGGGUCCCUUGGACACUCCGAAUUUCCAAACAGAGAAUUCCUACAUGGUCAGAUAUAAAGGGCAUUGAACAAAUGGGAAAAUUAUUCUUGGUGGUAAAUUUGUGAUAUUGACAUCUCAAGAAUGGACAGAAAGUAUGGAAAAUACAUAUUGAAUGUGGAACACUCUGACAACCCGCUGGUGAGUACUGGUGCUCCAUUUUAAUAUUUUUUUUUAUCUCGCAGUUUCAUUGUCAGCAUUUGAACCCUAUCUAGUAUGCUUACUAUUAUGGAGUCAAGAUCAUAAUUUUACAUUCUCCCAAAGCAAGAGUAUUCCUGUAGCUUUUUUGCUUCAAAUUUCAUUAUAUAUUUUGCUAUAAUAUAGACACUAUGAACCAUUUUUAUAGGUGUAAAUAUUAGGAAUGUUUCUAUGUGUAUACAUACAAAUCACCAUCAUAGCAAAUAAAACUACAAGGGUGUCCUUGGUUUAUUUAUUA
RNAcentral lists this long non-coding RNA (774 nucleotides) under Oryctolagus cuniculus (rabbit). RNAcentral describes it as "lncRNA (ENSOCUG00000034162.1)". Lineage: Eukaryota; Metazoa; Chordata; Mammalia; Lagomorpha; Leporidae. The record is from RNAcentral.